UACAGAGGGUGCGAGCGUUAAUCGGAGUUACUGGGCGUAAAGGGCGCGUAGGCGGUUUAAUAAGAUUGAUGUGAAAUCCCUGGGCUUAACCUAGGAACUGCAUCGAUGACUGUUAAGCUGGAGUACUGUAGAGGGUAGUAGAAUUUCCGGUGUAGCGGUGAAAUGCGUAGAGAUCGGAAGGAAUACCAGUGGCGAAGGCGGCUACCUGGACAGAUACUGACGCUGAGGCGCGAGAGCGUGGGGAGCAAACAGG
This 253-nucleotide ribosomal RNA is filed under the name uncultured bacterium. RNAcentral's name for it is "partial 16S ribosomal RNA". It matches the Rfam family "Bacterial small subunit ribosomal RNA", at positions 524 to 776 of the family's 1533-position model. The record is from RNAcentral.